AUCCAGCUGACGAGUCCUAAAUAGAACGAAACGCCUGUCCUGGAU
Molecule: non-coding RNA, 45 nt
Filed under: Schistosoma mansoni
Lineage: Eukaryota; Metazoa; Platyhelminthes; Trematoda; Strigeidida; Schistosomatidae
Source: RNAcentral